Molecule: long non-coding RNA, 2392 nt
Filed under: Panax ginseng (ginseng)
Lineage: Eukaryota; Viridiplantae; Streptophyta; Magnoliopsida; Apiales; Araliaceae
Description: long non-coding RNA (PGIN_LNC007633)
Source: RNAcentral
AUUAAAUUCACAUCACCCAGAUAAACACACAAGUUUAUACUUUCAAACAUGCUCUAUCUUAAGUCCCUCUUAUGGGUUGCAUCACCAAAUCCUUCCCACUAGGGAGGGGGACAUGCCACUUGUAAAUAAUUUCAAAAGCUAACCCCGAUAUAAAACAGUUUGAGUUUUACUAUUUAAAGAACUAGCAAGUAAACUUUUUCUUCUCCAAAUUAGUAAAAUAGACCCUGGCUCCGAAAAAAUACAGCCUUCCCCAAACUGUACAGGGUUCAUAAUAUCAACAAACUAAAUAUACAUUCACUUUUUGAAAACCAAUUAUGGAAGCAGACAAUUACUUGAUACUUAGAAUAGUUCGAUCUUAUUAUUCCUUAUGGAUCAAGGGGGAGUUGACACCAAAAUAUCACAACCAAAGAUAAAAAUUAUAUUUUCAUUGUCAUUCAAUAUUAAACACCAUUACUACCAAAUUGGGGUGAUGAAAGCUUCCUCUUUUAAGAGGGAAAGAAAUUGAAAAGUUACUAACCUAAAAUUUUAUAGAGCUUCAAGAUUUAACAAGCCAAAUUAAGUGGCACAAAAGAAAAUUAUCAAUCAUAUAAAAAUAAAAGCAUGUCCAUCCGUCAUCGUUGCCAAUAUGUCUAAUUACAUAUAAAGAUCCAUCUUAAACCAUACAUUAUCUAUUUCUAGCUCCAUCUUACCAAAAGUCCUUGAGUAGAUAAAUAUCAGUACAUGGACCAAACCUGAGCACCUAAUCUUUGUAAUCAAUUUUAUUAUGCAGCGUCACAUUCAAAAGAUCGUUCAUCCGUGAUAUAUACUACUUGGUGCAGGACAAGCCCGCAAAAUUUGGUUAGAACAAUAUAAAAAUAUAAAAGGCUUUGAAAGUUCAUGGAUUAGAAGCUGUAUUUUAAUUAAUUUUCUUAAUUCAUUACUUUGGUAGUUAUCUUAUUACAAUUUAAGUCAGGGGAGUUGGUUAGGAGUAUUAAAAUUAUGGAUGCACUCUAUUACGUUGAACUAUUAAAAUUGAUCGAGAUUUUUUGAGAAUUGUUGUGUGAAAAAUAUCCAUCACCCCAAAAAACCUGUGUUAAAUUCCGCGUAGGUCCCUUUCUCCUCAUAAGCUCCCGAAUUUUCCCGUAUUGUUUUUUUUUUGUAAAGAUGUAUAUGUUUUAUAAAUCUCUCUCAAUAGAUUACAUAUUUGCCCUCAUAGUUUAUUAGUUUUGGUAAAAACUAUUAAACCAUCCCCCACACUUUUAAUCCUUUUAGUUUUAUCUUUGUUAUUGUAAUUUGUCCUUUCUCCUCAUAAGCUGCCAGAUUUUCCCGUAUUGUUUUGUAAAGAUGUAUAUGUUUUAUAAAUAGCUCUCGAUAGAUUACAUAUUUUCCCUCAUAGUUUUGAUAAAAACUUUAAACCAUCCUCGCACUAUUAAUCCUUUUAGUUUUAUCUUUGUUAUUGUAGUUUGUUCCCCUUUAGUCCUUAGACCGAAAAUAAUAAUUAAACAAUACAUCCAUAUUUAUAAUAGCCGGACUGGAAUCGUUGGUUCAAUCGGUAAAACUAGGAACCGGUUGGUAAUCCUAGUCGACUUUAGACCAUAUAACUGGAAGUUGCCAAAACUCGCCCAAAAUCGAUAACUCGUCGGUCGAACAACUCAACUCGGCGAACCAAUAACCGAGUUCCGAUUUUCUCCAAAUCUUUCCACCAUCAUCAUAUAGUCCCAAAAAAAUUAGAGUUUUUACAUUGUUUUACCAACAUCCUCAUUCAUCAAACAACCUCUUCCAUCAACUUGGUCUUCUACAAUUUUAAUCUAAGAAAGAGAGAAAAAUAGUAAAAGUCGUCUAAAAUAUGGAGAGGAAAAGAGUGAUGGAGAAGAAAAGAGAGAUGGAGAGGCAAGAGGCAGCUGUGUGUAGGCUUUAGGCUGGAGAAGGAAACGAAUAUGUUUUAUCAUAAACCUAAUCAAUGGUCAAAAAACUAAGGAGAUAUUUUGUCACUUUGGAUUUUUAUUGUUUAUUUUUUUAAAUAGCUAAAGACUAUAAUGUGAACUAGGUUUUAGGUCGAGGUGGUUAAGACAUAAAUAAAUCACGAACAAUUGAACAUUGUUAUUGUUUUAAUACAAUUUCGAACUAUUAAAACAAUUCAAAAUAAUACAUUUAACUCUUUUUUUUCCUCUUUUUUUGGAUACGCACCCAUUGUCUUGAGUAUUGCCUUCGUUCCAAAAAAAAGUUUUAUUUACAAUUUUUUGUUUCACAAAAUUAGUCCCCCAUUUUAAUAAAAAUACCAUAAAAUGAUAUAACAUUGUCAUUAACCAUCUUAAUCUCUUUAUCAUACCAAACUACUAAAAAUUAACAACUCAUUUUUAAAGAAAUUACAUAGAACAAAAGGUUAUUCAUAAUAUUUACAAACUUUUUAAAU